This 58-nucleotide transfer RNA is filed under the name Ictidomys tridecemlineatus (thirteen-lined ground squirrel). Its description in RNAcentral is "Spermophilus tridecemlineatus (thirteen-lined ground squirrel) tRNA". It matches the Rfam family "tRNA", at positions 8 to 63 of the family's 71-position model. From Rfam's summary of the family: Transfer RNA (tRNA) molecules are approximately 80 nucleotides in length. Their secondary structure includes four short double-helical elements and three loops (D, anti-codon, and T loops). Lineage: Eukaryota; Metazoa; Chordata; Mammalia; Rodentia; Sciuridae. The record is from Rfam by way of RNAcentral.
UAGCUCAGUUGGUAGAGUGCUUGCCUUACAUGCACAAGGUCCUGGGUUCGAUUCCCAG